GACGAACGCUGGCGGCGUGCUUAACACAUGCAAGUCGAACGGAAAGGCCCUGCUUUUGUGGGGUGCUCGAGUGGCGAACGGGUGAGUAACACGUGAGUAACCUGCCCUUGACUUUGGGAUAACUUCAGGAAACUGGGGCUAAUACCGGAUAGGAGCUCCUGCUGCAUGGUGGGGGUUGGAAAGUUUCGGCGGUUGGGGAUGGACUCGCGGCUUAUCAGCUUGUUGGUGGGGUAGUGGCUUACCAAGGCUUUGACGGGUAGCCGGCCUGAGAGGGUGACCGGCCACAUUGGGACUGCGAUACGGCCCAGACUCCUACGGGAGGCAGCAGUGGGGAAUAUUGCACAAUGGGCGGAAGCCUGCUGCAGCAACGCCGCGUGCGGGAUGACGGCCUUCGGGUUGUAAACCGCUUUCGCCUGUGACGAAGCGUGAGUGACGGUAAUGGGUAAAGAAGCACCGGCUAACUACGUG
This 468-nucleotide ribosomal RNA is filed under the name uncultured bacterium. RNAcentral's name for it is "partial 16S ribosomal RNA". It matches the Rfam family "Bacterial small subunit ribosomal RNA", at positions 28 to 507 of the family's 1533-position model. The record is from RNAcentral.